This 513-nucleotide long non-coding RNA is filed under the name Homo sapiens (human). RNAcentral describes it as "non-protein coding lnc-MAPK6-4:1". The record is from RNAcentral. Lineage: Eukaryota; Metazoa; Chordata; Mammalia; Primates; Hominidae.
UACUUUGAAUAAUCUUUUAUUUCCAAUUAACUAUGAAACAAACAGUUCAGAAAAAUUCCAUGUUGAUUUUGCAAAAAUUUUUUUUCUUUUGUAUUUUUAUAGAGAGGGGGUUUCACCAUGUUGGUCAGGCUAGUCUUGAACUCCUGGCCUCAGGUGAUCCACCUGCCUUGGCCUCCCAAAGUGCUGGGAUUACAGGUGCGAGCCACUGCACCCAGCCAAGAAUUUCAGCUCCUUGGUGUUAAGAGAUUAUUCUUUCAUCAACAGUGAUUAGCCAAAAACAACAAAAAAAGGCUUCAACGGCCCCUUUCCAAUUCUAAUCUCUUCUUCAGGUACAGAGAGCCCGGAGGGGCCAGAUGCCGUAUUGAGACAGGGCUCAGGUGAGGCUCUUAGGCACGCAGCUGAAGGGAGUUCACCGGCCCAGAGGGUUGAAGACCAACACUAACAUUAUGAACAAGGCAGGAGUUCCUGCUAACACACCUCCCACUCCCUUUCCCUUCUCAGAUAGAACCCAAC